Molecule: ribosomal RNA, 324 nt
Filed under: uncultured eukaryote
Lineage: Eukaryota
Description: partial 18S ribosomal RNA
Rfam family: Eukaryotic small subunit ribosomal RNA
Source: RNAcentral
CCCUUAGAUGUUCUGGGCCGCACGCGUGCUACACUGACGGAGGCAGCGAGCUUACCCCUUUGCCGAAAGGCAUGGGAAAUCUUUUGAAUCUCCGUCGUGCUGGGGAUAGAUCAUUGCAAUUAUUGAUCUUGAACGAGGAAUUCCUAGUAAGCGCAAGUCAUCAACUUGCGUUGAUUACGUCCCUGCCCUUUGUACACACCGCCCGUCGCUCCUACCGAUUGAAUGCUCAGGUGAGCCAUUCGGACCUUCAUCAUGCCGGUUUCCGGUUUUGAUGUGGGAAAGUCUUGCGAACCUUAUCAUUUAGAGGAAGGAGAAGUCGUAACA